AUGUCCUUUUGUUUUUAAUAUAAGGUCUGGUCUGCCCAAUGAUUUAUUUAAUGGCCGCGGUAUAUUAACUGUGCUAAGGUAGCAUAAUCACUUGUCUUUUAAUUAAAGGCUAGAAUGAAUGGCUGGACGAAGUAUAAGCUUUCUUUAAUUUAAUUUAUGAAUUUAAUUUUUUAGUUAAAAAGCUAAAAUUUUUUUGAGGGACGAGAAGACCCUAUAGAUCUUUAGAAUAUUAAUUAUAAUAUAAUUUAGAAUAUUAAUUAUUUAAUAAUUAAUAUUCUUUGGUUGGGGUGAUUAUAGAACUUAUAGAACUUCUAUUUAUUUAUAUCACAAAUGAGUGUUAUUUUGAUCCAAUUAUUAUUGAUUAUAAGAUUAAGUUACCUUAGGGAUAACAGCGUAAUUCUUUCGGAGAGCUCCAAUCGAUGAAGGAGUUUGCGACCUCGAUGUUGGAUUAAAAUUAGUAUUAGGUGCAGGAGCUUAAUAACUAGGUCUGUUCGACCUUUAAUUUUUUACAUGAUCUG
RNAcentral lists this ribosomal RNA (518 nucleotides) under Ploeogaster sp. 00001516. RNAcentral describes it as "partial 16S ribosomal RNA". It matches the Rfam family "Bacterial large subunit ribosomal RNA", at positions 1817 to 2607 of the family's 2925-position model. Lineage: Eukaryota; Metazoa; Arthropoda; Insecta; Hemiptera; Reduviidae. The record is from RNAcentral.